GGCAUUGUGCCGGAUAAUCGGGCUACUUUGAUGUAGUAGCUAAUGUUGGUAAAGUCCUUCUGGUGCCA
This 68-nucleotide transfer RNA is filed under the name Macoma balthica. RNAcentral describes it as "Limecola balthica tRNA-Ile". Lineage: Eukaryota; Metazoa; Mollusca; Bivalvia; Cardiida; Tellinidae. The record is from RNAcentral.